Long non-coding RNA from Nerophis ophidion (straightnose pipefish), 439 nucleotides. RefSeq lists it as uncharacterized. The record is from RefSeq and is a predicted model, not a curated record. Lineage: Eukaryota; Metazoa; Chordata; Actinopteri; Syngnathiformes; Syngnathidae. The transcript has 2 exons.
AGAGAGAGCACUCGUAUAGGACAGGAGGGAAAUAGGAGGUGCUCAUUAGUGCUUCCGUGUCUCAGUCAGGCCACACCCUGCGAUGAGAACGCAAUCAAGCACUUCGUGUGUUCUUUUUAUCCCAUAAAACAGGUACGAAGAAACAAGCCAGGAGGAAGAGGAGGAUAAAUGAAGCAUCGUUUGCGUCCUUCGAUGCCCAGUCCAAGGAGCAUCCCAGCUGGUGGAUCUCCAGUGUGUAGCGGUUCCAGCCUAGGAGAGGAGCACCGGUCCAAACCAGGGAGUACACCCAGAUGUGGGCGAUGGCCCGCCAUGCCCAGUGGAAAUCCACCACCUGGGCGUGGACCACCCGGAUGUAGCGCUCAUAGGCCAAGGCUGCCAAAGUCAUGAUGGAAAUGAUGCCUGGCGGUGGGAGCAAAAUAAAUCAUCAGACUUCUUGAAA